Molecule: long non-coding RNA, 2977 nt
Filed under: Homo sapiens (human)
Lineage: Eukaryota; Metazoa; Chordata; Mammalia; Primates; Hominidae
Description: non-protein coding lnc-CNPY1-2:31
Source: RNAcentral
GUCUCCCGUUAGGAGCCGGGGAGGCAAGGUCCAGCGUACGGUCCGGGGGAACCUUAACUGUCGUUUCUGUGCCUGGACAGUAGGUUGGAGAGUGGGGUCUGAAUGAGCUACAGUAGUGAACGCCGACGGCUUGUGUUGAGGGCAGGAAAGGGUGCACACAGCUCCGGCAGGUGCUUCCGCGAGAAAGGUGACUGAUACAACAACGUAGAGGACCCUGCAAUGUGGAGAGGCAUGAAACUGGAGGUCCAGUGCCGUGAGUUAACAAUCAAGACGUCCAUACAGGAGAUGCAUUGGUGGAUGGGUGAAGAGAUGAUAAAACGAAAAGCCCAGAGGAGAAAUGAGGAUGCAAAGAGAAAGAAAAAAACCCCAACCAGAGAGCUGCAAGGAUAUCAGGAAGAGGGAGCGUCCGGGGACGGAGCAGAGCGCGCUUUUCCGAACGCCUUACUCCGGGCUGGGGCUGCUUUCUGCAAGCCCGUGCGGUGCACGUGAGGAGGCUUUCCUUGCGGUGGUGAAAUCAAACACACCUAAGGCGUGAGUCCUCCAGACUUUCCUCACCUGGGCAGCUUGGCCCCGGCCACCUGUGCCUCGCCCGGAGAAACUCCAACGUGCAGGGCGCUGAUGGACGAGAUAGAGCACGACAUCACCAAGGCUCGGCAGAAGAAGACCAAGGUGGGAUCCUUCCGAAUCAAUCCCGAUGGGACUCAGGAGAGGAGAAAGAUCCCCCUAGCUCAGUCGGAGGCGUUCCUAACGGAUCUUUUGGAGAAAGUCUGUGAGCGAAUGAACGACUACAAGCUUGAGGAAGACCCUGUGACGAAGGAGAGAACUUUCAAGAGAUUCGCUCCUAGGAAAGGAGACAAAAUAUACCAAGAAUUUAAAAAAUUGUAUUUUUAUUCUGAUGCUUACAGACCUUUGAAAUUUGCGUGUGAAACUAUAAUAGAAGAGUAUGAAGAUGAAAUAUCCUCACUUAUCGCCCAGGAGACACACUAUCUAGCUGACAAGCUGUGCAGUGAAAAAUCAGAUCUGUGUGAAACUUCUGCUAAUCAUACUGAGCUCUAGGAGUGCCGUUCUGCUGGUCGUAGAGAGGAGUAAAGUCACACCCAAAGGUCAAUGUCUGCAUUUUAUGUUUGCAUGUUGUCUUUCAUGAUAAGAAAAAUUUUGUCUCUUGUUUAUACCGUGUUUGUCUCCGUUUAUGAUUCAUUUUGAAAAUCUGUUGGUUGACAUCAUGACAAACCCUGCGUUUUUUUAUAGGUGAAGCUGAGGAGUACAUGAAACUUAAAUUAACCUUUGCAGAUUUUGAUAAAUCAAGCUUGACAAUAGAGGAUUUAAUUCUGUAUUGAGGAAAAAAGCGAAGACAUUUCAUAAACAAAAUAGGGAUUUCAUAAUGUAUGCUGCUUAUUUUAUAACAGUGUAUGUGCACAUAUGCAAGCGCAGUGGCUGUCUGAUAAGAACUGGAUUUGAAUCCUCAAAUACUUGAUUGCCUAUAAAUUUAAGGAAAUACAUGGCAACAAAUUCAAAAUGUGGCCUUCUGGGUGAGAUAUGGCUAUUAGUGAAAGAAACCCACUUUUUAUCAGGAAUGAAAUUAAAAUUUUUAGAAACCACAAGUUUAAAAACCCAUCUCUAAAAUUUAGUGGAAUGUGUAAAAACUAAUGAAUGCUUUAAUUUAUAGUAAACAAUAAUUAUAUUGGCCUCUCAAACACCAUUCUGAGUUUAAGUGGCUUAGAAAGUUGAUUUAUUAUUGCAUCAGGUGUUAAAAGAUGACACUAGUGAUUGCGUUUUGUUUCGCUCCAAACUCUUCUGGCUUGUUUGUUUUUCUUCUAAACGUUUUUUUUUUGGCUCACAUUUAGUGUGUUGAGUUUACUACUAAAUAAUCUACCAUUCUUCUACAGGAAUGGAAAAAGAGUUGGGACCUGGUGGGAAAUUAUCUUUUGGCCACACUUAAUAUACAAAGUCUAGUAACAAUCACUCCCGGAAAUUUCUUUAUCUCUGUUACAUUUGCAUUCAAUGGAAUCUGACUUUAAUGAUUAAAAAUGUCAGGGUAUGGUCUACACCAGUUUCUAAAAAGAGAUUCUCAUUGUCUUUGGUGACAAUCAAGUGGGUAGGAUGCUACAAAUCCCCCCCCCAACCCCCCCGACCCAAAACUCUUUGCCAUAUUGUUACUUAGUUGCUUAAAAAGCACAUUAUGUGUUUAAAUCAUUCUCCUGACUCUUCAGCAGGAAACAAUUCUUAAAUUUAGGAAAAUUUACCAAAGCUAAGGGGAAGGGCUUUCCAUGCCCCCUCCCCACCUAAACUCUGAUUAAAAGUUAGUGAGUUAAUGUCACUUAAUUACUUGGGUGCUUCUUUUUUGUCUUGUCUGUGGCUGCUUAAGUCUGAUGGCUCCUACAUAACCCAGCGAACUCGCACCCGAGCUGACACACGAUGGAAAUAGAACUGAAUAAUAAUUAACACUAUUUUCCAGUAGGGUAGGACAAUUGUUAUUUAAAACAUAGUCCCUAUAGCUUUAUUUAAACGUAUCUAGUUAAGGUUAAUUUGGCAUUUAAAGUAGUAAAUCAGGAACAUUCUCCUAACUUGGAUUUUCUUGGGAAAUGCACUAAACAGGACAAUUAUUCCUGAAAACCUAGUGACCUUCACAGGAACAUGGCGGGACCUGUGACACUAAGUAAGCUUCAGUGAAAACUGUUCACGGUCGUAACCGUAGAAGUGUUGCCAAAUCUGUUUCCAUACUCUCUUUGAUCAUCAUCAAACAUUCUCAAAUGUAGGCAAUGCUAACACUAAUUAUAGAAAUUAAGAAAAUGUGGGCUCCUGUUUGUAACUAAACGGACGUGGGGAGGUGCACCUCCUGUCACUGAGGGGUGCCUUUCAUGGACAGUGAUGCUUUGCUUUGAAUGGAGAGGGCGAGGAACCUUGACUUACAGUGACUAUCUAAGGUUGUGAUAAAUAUGGCAUUUCAGGUUUUUUUCUUGGAUUUCCCAUUAAAAAU